Molecule: long non-coding RNA, 4830 nt
Filed under: Brassica rapa (field mustard)
Lineage: Eukaryota; Viridiplantae; Streptophyta; Magnoliopsida; Brassicales; Brassicaceae
Description: long non-coding RNA (BRAP_LNC003949)
Source: RNAcentral
GUUAGUCCAAUGAUUUAGGGAGUAUUUGCAGUUUUACUAAAUUUUUGGAUAAAAAAAUAGAAAGAUGUCCAUGUACCAUGAAAAGAAGUUUAUCAUACAUUAAUACAAAGGUAUAAUGUGGUUUUAAAUUUUAAAACAAAUUUAAAGAUUAUAGGCUUCAUAUAUAGAACAUUUACCGAAAACUCACUAUUUUGGUAGGUGUUAACACAUAGAUUUUGAAAAAAUAAAAAAAAUUGAAAAUACUGUUUUAAUACAUAUUUGAAUCAAGUAAAAAAAUAUGAUGAAGUUCAAAGAGGUUUGAAACCUUUGUUGUCUCCGUUUCUCUAGGGAAUAGCAAUUUAAUAGUGGUUAGUCCAAUGAAUUAGGGAGUAUUUGCAGUUUUGCUAAAUUAAUGGAUAAAAAAUUAGAACGAUGUUCAUUUACCAUGAAAAUAAGUUUAUCAUACAUUAAUACAAAGGUAUAAUUUGGUUUUAAAUUUUAAAACGAAUUAAAAGAUUAUAGGCUUCAUAUAUAGAGCAUUUACCGAAAUCACACUAUUUUCGUAGGGGGGUACACAUAGAUUUUGAGAAAAAUUCAAAAACUUUGAGAAUACUAUUUUAAUACAUAUUUGAAUCAUGUAAUAAAAUAUGAUGAAGUUCAAAGAGGUUUGGAACCUUUGUUGUCUCUGUUUCUCUAAGGAAUAGCAAUUUUAUAGUGGUUAGUCCAAUGAUUUAGGGAGUAUUUACAGUUUUGCUAAAUUAAUUGAUUAAAAAUUAGAACGAUGUCCAUGUACCAUGAAAAGGAGUUUAUCAUAAAUUAAUACAAAUUUAUAAUGUGGUUAUAAAUUUUAAAACGAAUUAAAAGAUUAUAGGCUUCAUAUAUAGAGCAUUUACCGAAAACUCACUAUUUUCGUAGGGGGGUACACAUAGAUUUUAAGAAAAAUUCAAAAAAUUUGAAAAUACUGUUUUAAUACAUAUUUGAAUCAUGUAAUAAUAUAUGAUGAAGUUCAAAGAGGUUUGGAACCUUUGUUGUCUCCGUUUCUCUAGGGAAUAGCAAUUUUAUAGUGGUUAGUCCAAUGAUUUAGAGAGUAUUUGCAGUUUUGCUAAAUUAAUGGAUAAAAAAUUAGAACGAUGUCCAUGUACCAUGAAAAAAAGUUUAUCAUACAUUAAUACAAAAGUAUAAUGUGGUUUUAAAUUUUAAAACAAAUUUAAAGAUUAUAGGCUUCAUAUAUAGUGCAUUUACCGAAAACUCACUAUUUUCAUAGGGGUCAACACAUAGAUUUUGAGAAAAAUUCAAAUAAUUUGAAAAUACUGUUUUAAUACAUAUUUGAAUCAUGUAAUAAUAUAUGAUGAAGUUCAAAGAGGUUUGGAAUCUUUGUUGUCUCCGUUUCUCUAGGGAAUAGCAAUUUUAUAGUGGUUAGUUUAAUGAUUUAGGGAGUAUUUGCAGUUUUGCUAAAUUAAUGGAUAAAAAAAUAGAACGAUGUCCAUGUACCAUGAAAAGAAGUUUAUCAUACAUUAAUACAAAGGUAUAAUGUGGUUUUAAAUUUUAAAACAAAUUUAAAGAUUAUAGGCUUCAUAUAUAGAACAUUUACCGAAAACUCACUAUUUUACACAUAGAUUUUGAAAAAUUCAAAAAAAUUGAAAAUACUGUUUUAUUACAUAUUUGAAUCAAGUAAAAAAUAUGAUGAAGUUCAAAGAGGUUUGGAACCUUUGUUGUCUCCGUUUCUCUAGGGAAUAGCAAUUUUAUAGUGGUUAGUCCAAUGAUUAGGAGUAUUUGGAGUUUGCUUUGCUAAAUUAAUGGAUAAAAAAUUAGAACGAUGUUCAUGUACCAUGAAAAGAAGUUUAUCAUACAUUAAUACAAAGGUAUAAUGUGGUUUUAAAUUUUAAAACAAAUUUAAAGAUUAUAGGCUUCAUAUAUAGAGCAUUUACCGAAAACUCACUAUUUUCGUAGGGGGGUACACAUAGAUUUUGAGAAAAAUUCAAAAACUUUGAGAAUACUGUUUUAAUACAUAUUUGAAUCAUGUAAUAAAAUAUGAUGAAGUUCAAAGAGGUUUGGAACCUUUGUUGUCUCUGUUUCUCUAAGGAAUAGCAAUUUUAUAGUGGUUAGUCCAAUGAUUUAGGGAGUAUUUGUAUUUACAGUUUUGCUAAAUUAAUUGAUAAAAUUAGAACGAUGUCCAUGUACCAUGAAAAGAAGUUUAUCAUAAAUUAAUACAAAGGUAUAAUGUGGUUUUAAAUUUUAAAACAAAUUAAAGAUUAUAGGCUUCAUAUAUAGAGCAUUUACCGAAAACUCACUAUUUUCGUAGGGGGGUAACAUAGAUGAUUUUAGAAAAAUUCAAAAAAUUGAAAAUACUGUUUUAAUACAUAUUUGAAUCAUGUAAUAAUAUAUGAUGAAGUUCAAAGAGGUUUGGAACCUUUGUUGUCUCCGUUUCUCUAGGGAAUAGCAAUUUUAUAGUGGUUAGUCCAAUGAUUUAGGGAGUAUUUGCAGUUUUGCUAAAUUAAUGGAUAAAAAAUUAGAACGAUGUCCAUGUACCAUGAAAAGAAGUUUAUCAUACAUUAAUACAAAGGUAUAAUGUGGUUUUAAAUUUAAAACAAAUUUAAAGAUUAUAGGCUUCAUAUAUAGAGCAUUUACCGAAAACUCACUAUUUUCGUAGGGGGGUACACAUAGAUUUUGAGAAAAAAUUCAAAAAAAUUGGAAAAUACUUUUUUAAUACAUAUUUGAAUCAGGUAAUAAAUAUGAUGAAGUUCAAAGAGGUUUGAAACCUUUGUUUGUCCGUUUCUCUAGGGAAUAGCAAUUUUAUAGUGGUUAGUCCAAUGAUUUAGGGAGUAUUUGCAGUUUUGCUAAAUUAAUGGAUAAAAAAUUAGAACGAUGUCCAUGUACCAUGAAAAGAAGUUUAUCAUACAUUAAUACAAAGGUAUAAUGUGGUUUUAAAUUUUAAAAAAAAUUAAAGAUUAUAGGCUUCAUAUAUAGAGCAUUUACCGAAAACUCACUAUUUUCGUAGGGGUUACACAUAGAUUUUGAAAAAAAAAAAAAAAUUGAAAAUACUGUUUUAAUACAUAUUUGAAUCAGUAAAAAAUAUGAUGAAGUUCAAAGAGGUUUGGAACCUUUGUUGUCUCCGUUCUCUAGGGAAUAGCAAUUUUAUAGUGGUUAGUCCAAUGAUUUAGGAGUAUUGCAGUUUUGCUAAAUUAAUGGAUAAAAAAUUAGAACGAUGUCCAUGUACCAUGAAAAGAAGUUUAUCAUACAUUAAUACAAAGGUAUAAUGUGGUUUUAAAUUUUAAAACAAAUUAAAAGAUUAUAGGCUUCAUAUAUAGAGCAUUUACCGAAAAACACUAUUUUCGUAGGGGGGUACACAUAGAUUUUGAGAAAAUUCAAAAAAUUUGAGAAUACUGUUUUAAUACAUAUUUGAAUCAUGUAAUAAAUAUGAUGAAGUUCAAAGAGGUUUGGAACCUUUGUUGUCUCUGUUUCUCUAAGGAAUAGCAAUUUUAUAGUGGUUAGUCCAAUGAUUUAGGGAGUAGAUUUUGGAGUAUUUACAGUUUUGCUAAAUUAAUGUAUAAAAAAUUAGAACGAUGUCCAUGUACCAUGAAAAGAAGUUUAUCAUAAUUAAUACAAAGGUAUAAUGUGGUUUUAAAUUUUAAAACAAAUUAAAAGAUUAUAGGCUUCAUAUAUAGAGCAUUUACCGAAAACUCACUAUUUUCGUGGGGGGUUACACAAUAGAUUUUGAGAAAAAUUCAAAAAAUUGAAAAUACUGUUUUAAUAUAAUAUUUGAAUCAUGUAAUAAUAUAUGAUGAAGUUCAAAGAGGUUUGGAACCUUUGUUGUCUCCGUUUCUCUAGGGAAUAGCAAUUUUAUAGUGGUUAGUCCAAUGAUUUAGAGAGUAUUUGCAGUUUUGCUAAAUUAAUGGAUAAAAAAUUAGAACGAUGUCCAUGUACCAUGAAAAAAAGUUUAUCAUACAUUAAUACAAAGGUUAUAUGUGUGGUUUUAAAUUUUUAAACAAAUUUAAAGAUUAUAGGCUUCAUAUAUAGAGCAUUUACCGAAAACUCACUAUUUUCAUAGGGGUCAACACAUAGAUUUUGAAAAAAAUAAAAAAAAUUGAAAAUACUGUUUUAAUACAUAUUUGAAUCAAGUAAAAAAAUUUGAUGAAGUUCAAAGAGGUUUAGAACCUUUGUUUUCUCUGUUUCUCUAGGGAAUAGCAAUUUUAUAGUGGUUAGUCCAAUGAUUUAAGGAGUAUUUGCAGUUUUGCUAAAAUUAAUGGAUAAAAAAUUAGAACAAUGUUCAUGUACCAUGAAAAGAAGUUUAUCAUACAUUAAUACAAAGGUAUAAUGUGGUUUUAAAUUUUAAAACAAAUUUAAAGAUUAUAGGCUUCAUAUAUAGAACAUUUACCAAAAACCCACUAUUUUCGUAGGGGGGUACACAUAGAUUUUGAGAAAAAUUCAAAAAAUUUGAAAAUACUGUUUUAAUACAUAUUUGAAUCAUGUAAUAAUAUAUGAUGAAGUUCAAAGAGGUUUGGAACCUUUGUUGUCUUCGUUUCUCUAGGGAAUAGCAAUUUUAUAGUGGUUAGUCCAAUGAUUUAGGGAGUAUUUGCAGUUUUGCUAAAUUAAUGGAUAAAAAAUAGAACGAUGUCCAUGUACCAUGAAAAGAAGUUUAUCAUACAUUAAUACAAAGGUAUAAUGUGGUUUUAAAUUUUAAAACAAAUUAAAGAUUAUAGGCUCAUAUAUAGAGCAUUUACCGAAAACUCACUAUUUUCGUAGGUGGUUAACACAUAGAUUUUGAAAAAAAUUAAAAAAAUUGAAAAUAAUACUGUUUUAAUACAUAUUUGAAUCAUGUAAAAAAAAUAUGAUGAAGUUCAAAGAGGUUUG